AAUUUUGGACAAUGGGGGAAACCCUGAUCCAGCCAUCCCGCGUGUAUGAUGAAGGCCCUCGGGUUGUAAAGUACUUUUGGCAGAGAAGAAAAGGCAUCCCCUAAUACGGGAUGCUGCCGACUGUAUCUGCAGAAUAAACACCGGCUAACUACGUCACUGCAUCCGCGGUAAUACGUAGGGUGUAAGCGUUAAUCGGAAUCACUCGGCGUAAAGCAUGUGUAGGCGGAUCGGAAAGAAAGAUGUGGAAGCCCAGGGCUCAACCUUGGAACUGCAUUUUUAACUGCCGAGCUAGAGUAUGUCAGAGGGGGGUAGAGUUCCACGUGUAGCAGUGAAAUGCGUAGAUAUGUGGAGGAAUACCGAUGGCGAAGGCAGCCCCCUGGGAUAAUACUGACGCUCAGACACGAAAGCGUGGGGAGCAAGCAGG
RNAcentral lists this ribosomal RNA (424 nucleotides) under uncultured bacterium. Its description in RNAcentral is "partial 16S ribosomal RNA". It matches the Rfam family "Bacterial small subunit ribosomal RNA", at positions 360 to 776 of the family's 1533-position model. The record is from RNAcentral.